Molecule: non-coding RNA, 526 nt
Organism: Pelobates cultripes (western spadefoot toad)
Lineage: Eukaryota; Metazoa; Chordata; Amphibia; Anura; Pelobatidae
Source: the annotation of a GenBank genome assembly
UGUAUUAUCACAGAGGUAUCAAAAUUAUUACAUGAUAACUAUUAGAAUGCAAGACAGAGUGGAAUGGCCCAUCUUUUUUUGGAAGAUGAUGCAGAACUGGACCAUAGUUUGGCAAUAUUUAUGAUAAACAGCAAAUACAUACACUGGAGUGCAGCUCUGUUAAACUCUUAAUAGGUUUAAAAACCAUAUGGCAGUGUUCCCAUAAUUACACCACUCUGUUAAGUCAGAUGUACAGUACAGAGGAACAGUGAGAGAGUCAACUGUGUUAUGUUCUCCAUGGACCUUGGAAUUGUGCCCCAAGAAAAUAUCAGCCUCAUUCUUCCAUAAGGGUGAUGGUGAGUAUCAGCAUCUGGUUCAUUACAUCAUGGGUUUUUCCAAAUGUACUUGAUACUUCCUCGUAAGCAAGCUGGUAAAAUUGAACAUUACCAACUCAACUAUUUUGUCACAAUAUGCUGUUUAGUGAAUAAACACAUUUAAGGAUGAUAAUAAUGCUUAUAAUGAAAGACUGUUUUCUUAUGUCCACGAG